Long non-coding RNA from Amphiprion ocellaris (clown anemonefish), 1719 nucleotides. The record is from Ensembl. NCBI's taxonomy places the organism in Eukaryota, Metazoa, Chordata, Actinopteri, Pomacentridae.
CCCUCUCUCUCUGCCGCUCCGUCUCUCUCACUCUCACUCUCCUCUAUGCUGCUAUUCUGGGAAGUGGCGCUUGGAAUAACCCCCGUGUGCGUAAGAGUGUGUGUGUGCGUGUGUAUGUGUCUCCUGGUUUCACCCUGACACACGCACACAUACACGCUCACAACACAGUCAGACACACACAUUUACAGUCUGUCUGACUGCAGUAGUGGAGCUCCGGCAGCAGAAAUCCGGUCGGAAAGGAUUCCUUCCAUUUUUACGCGCAACUUUUCCUCCGUCGGCCGCCUCGCCGCAACGUUUCCACCGCUUCCCCUCGACUGUUUUGGAUUUCUAACAACCAUCUCCCGGCUGUUUCUAACGGGCAACCAGCGAGGAGUGCAAGCCCGCCCGGAAUCGGAUCUCCUGUCACCGGGGUUUGCUUGUUGUCAUUCUCGCACGGAGACGGAGACGCGCAGCCGGAGCGCAGGCAGAAGGGGCAGUUUGUGGACUUGAUAAACUGGACGAGAGGACAAACAGUUACACCAGCCCUCUUCUCUCUUUUCUCUCACCCAUAUUCUGUCUGUUUCUCCCAUCAUUUAUGUCUUUCCUUCCCUUCCCUUCUAUGCUUUUCUUUCUAACAAUCUCUCUCUUUCUUGCAUCUCUUCCUUCCCAUCCUCACCCAUUUUCCUUGCUCCCCCACUCUUCCUCCUCUCUAUUUUUCUCUCUCUUCCUUCUCCCCUCUCUCCCCUCACUCAAUCCAUUACUCCUUUCUUCUUUCUAUUUCGUUUGCCUGUUUUCUAUACCUCCUACUUGUCACACUUUCCCCUGGUCUUUUUCGUUUCCUCCUUGUCUUUCCUUCUCCUUCACUCUCAUGCUCUCCGUCCAUCUUUCUCUCCCUCCUCUUGCACCCUUUCCAUUUAUCUCUUUCUUUCUUUCUUUAUGUUCUCCUGGCUCUCUUUCUCCUCCCUAUUUCUCUAUUUUGUAUCAUUCUCUCACACCUCCACUCUCUCACUAUCUGCUUCUUUCUCUCCCCUUGCUCUCUCUCUUCCUUCCUUUCUCUGUGUAGCAUUCUUUCUCUCCCUUUCUCACUUUUGCUCUAGCUGCUCCUCCUUUUCCUCUCAUUCCUCCCUCUCACCUCCUCCCUCUCCUUCCAUACCUUCCCCUUUACCUUCUCGGUUUUACUCCCUGUCUCGCUUUCUCUCUUCCCACCUUCACUCUCUGUUCCUUUCUCUCCCAAAUUUGAAGAAACUCUCUCUGUUAACCCCUGUCUGACUCUGUCCUCGACUUCAUUGCUUCCUUUCGUUUUUUCAUUUCGUCUUCCUUUAGAGAACGUUCAGUGUGUGUGACCGUACAACGAGAGCGGUGAUGGGGGAUUUUACUUCACACCUCUGUUGACCACUUCCUCUGCCACAUCCUGUUUGUGUCCUAUUGCGACAGUGAAUGGACCUGCGCACACACACACACACACACACACACACACACACACACAUAUAGAAACCCCUGAUUAAAUCCACAAACAUGCAUGCAAACUAUAAAACCGCUGAAAUAUAAAGCUCUUUUUAGACAUGGGGUCUACACCUUUGCUGCUUCAUCAAUCUGGUAACAUGACAUCAUUCUGUCAUUCAGACAUUCGUCUUUUUUUUACGUUAAUAAUCCUCACCAGCUUCAUUCAGACUCAACAUAGUGAUGUAACACAAACACGAUAUGUGUAAUUCACACAAGAUUGGACAAAAAAAAUCUAUU